AUUAAAGUGGCAGAGUAGUGCAUUAGAUUUAAGCUUUAAACAUAGAGAAGUUCUCUUUAAUA
Molecule: transfer RNA, 62 nt
Filed under: Nectonemertes cf. mirabilis HC-2011
Lineage: Eukaryota; Metazoa; Nemertea; Enopla; Monostilifera; Nectonemertidae
Description: tRNA-Leu
Source: RNAcentral